Molecule: transfer RNA, 70 nt
Filed under: Stenus boops
Lineage: Eukaryota; Metazoa; Arthropoda; Insecta; Coleoptera; Staphylinidae
Description: tRNA-Lys
Source: RNAcentral
CAUUAGAUGACUGAAAGAAAGUAUUGAUCUCUUAAAUCAUAUUAUAGUAACUAACGUCUACUUCUAAUGA